RNAcentral lists this ribosomal RNA (492 nucleotides) under uncultured bacterium. RNAcentral's name for it is "partial 16S ribosomal RNA". It matches the Rfam family "Bacterial small subunit ribosomal RNA", at positions 29 to 507 of the family's 1533-position model. The record is from RNAcentral.
AGUGAACGCUGGCGGUAGGCCUAACACAUGCAAGUCGAACGGCAGCACAGUAAGAGCUUGCUCUUACGGGUGGCGAGUGGCGGAUGGGUGAGGAAUACAUCGGAAUCUACUUUUUCGUGGGGGAUAACGUAGGGAAACUUACGCUAAUACCGCAUACGACCUACGGGUGAAAGCAGGGGAUCUUCGGACCUUGCGCGAUUGAAUGAGCCGAUGUCGGCUUAGCUAGUUGGCGGGGUAAAGGCCCACCAAGGCGACGAACCGUAGCUGGUCUGAGAGGAUGAGCAGCCACACUGGAACUGAAACACGGUCCAGACUCCUACGGGAGGCAGCAGUGGGGAAUAUUAGACAAUGGGCGCAAGCCUGAUCCAGCCAUACCGCGUGGGUGAAGAAGGCCUUCGGGUUGUAAAGCCCUUUUGUUGUGAAAGAAAAGCAGCAGGUUAAUACCCCGCUGUUCUGACGGUACCCAAAGAAUAAGCACCGGCUAACUUCGUG